Long non-coding RNA from Sarcophilus harrisii (Tasmanian devil), 584 nucleotides. RefSeq lists it as uncharacterized. Lineage: Eukaryota; Metazoa; Chordata; Mammalia; Dasyuromorphia; Dasyuridae. The record is from RefSeq and is a predicted model, not a curated record. The transcript has 3 exons.
UGGGGGUUGAGUCCAUCAGUAACUGGAGAGAAGGAUGUUGGAUGACAAGAAAGAUUGAACAGAAUAUAAUAUAACAUGAUCUGUAUUGUCUUCAAGAUGGGGAUGCGUGGAGAGACAUUAGAACUCCAAUCAAAAAUCCUCUCUGCAAUGUCUGCAAAAAAUUUAAACGUGGUAUUUGUUACAAAGGUGAAAGUACCUGUCCUUUGUUAAACAAGUAUUGUAGAGCACGUUUAUAUUACCAAGUACAACCUAACGAAUAUAACAUUACACAUUUUGAAUUGGACUGUUCUAAUGACUGCACUUCAUCGACAUCCUCCAAUAGUUCCGUGAAAUAUUGGACCUUUUGCUGUUCAAGACACAAAUGUCUACAGAAUGGCUUUCAGUCCUGGCCACUCCUCUUUGGAUCCAGAAUCAGUCUAUGACUGUGGUCAAAAAACAUUCAUGAAAAUUGGAUGGAAGUCUAUUUGUCCAUAAAUGUCCAUUUAAACAUCUUAGAUUUUUGUACCCUGCUCAUGAUACCUUUCUCCCUAACCUUACAAGUAAAUUUUUUUUCAAUACUGUGUUUCAGCUGACUUAAAUAAAAA